CAGCAGUCGCCACGGUAAAACGUAGGUGGCAAGCGUUGUCCGGAAUUAUUGGGCGUAAAGGGCUCGCAGGCGGUUUCUUAAGUCUGAUGUGAAAGCCCCCGGCUCAACCGGGGAGGGUCAUUGGAAACUGGGAAACUUGAGUGCAGAAGAGGAGAGUGGAAUUCCACGUGUAGCGGUGAAAUGCGUAGAGAUGUGGAGGAACACCAGUGGCGAAGGCGACUCUCUGGUCUGUAACUGACGCUGAGGAGCGAAAGCGUGGGGAGCGAACAGGAUUAGAUACCCCGGUAGUCCCUGUCUCUUAUAC
RNAcentral lists this ribosomal RNA (304 nucleotides) under uncultured bacterium. RNAcentral's name for it is "partial 16S ribosomal RNA". It matches the Rfam family "Bacterial small subunit ribosomal RNA", at positions 506 to 807 of the family's 1533-position model. The record is from RNAcentral.